CGGACGGGUGAGUAAUGUCGGGGAAACUGCCCGAUGGGAGGGGAUAACACUGGAAACGGUAGCUAAUACCGCAUAACGUCGCAAGACCAAAGAGGGGGACCUUAGGGCCUCUUGCCAUCGGAUGUGCCCAGAUGGGAUUAGCUAGUAGGUGGGGUAACGGCUCACCUAGGCGACGAUCCCUAGCUGGUCUGAGAGGAUGACCAGCCACACUGGAACUGAGACACGGUCCAG
RNAcentral lists this ribosomal RNA (231 nucleotides) under uncultured bacterium. RNAcentral's name for it is "partial 16S ribosomal RNA". It matches the Rfam family "Bacterial small subunit ribosomal RNA", at positions 99 to 334 of the family's 1533-position model. The record is from RNAcentral.